UAUUCCAAUACCAACAUUAGUGUGCGAUGGAAGGACGCUUAGGGCUAAGGGGGCUAGCGGAUGGAAGUGCUAGUCUAAGGUCGUAGGAGGUUGUACAGGCAAAUCCGUAUAACAAUACUCCGAGAACUGAAAGGCUUUUUGAAGUCUUCGGAUGGAUAGAAGAACCCCUGAUGCCGUCGAGCCAAGAAAAGUUUCUAAGUUUAGCUAAUGUUGCCCGUACCGUAAACCGACACAGGUGGGUGGGAUGAGUAUUCUAAGGCGCGUGGAAGAACUCUCUUUAAGGAACUCUGCAAAAUAGCACCGUAUCUUCGGUAUAAGGUGUGGUUAGCUUUGUAUUAGGAUUUACUCCGAAAGCAAGGAAACUUACAACAAAGAGUCCCUCCCGACUGUUUACCAAAAACACAGCACUCUGCUAACUCGUAAGAGGAUGUAUAGGGUGUGACGCCUGCCCGGUGCUCGAAGGUUAAUUGAUGGGGUUAGCAUUAGCGAAGCUCUUGAUCGAAGCCCGAGUAAACGGCGGCCGUAACUAUAACGGUCCUAAGGUAGCGAAAUUCCUUGUCGGUUAAAUACCGACCUGCAUGAAUGGCGUAACGAGAUGGGAGCUGUCUCAAAGAGGGAUCCAGUGAAAUUGUAGUGGAGGUGAAAAUUCCUCCUACCCGCGGCAAGACGGAAAGACCCCGUGGACCUUUACUACAGCUUGACACUGCUACUUGGAUAAGAAUGUGCAGGAUAGGUGGGAGGCUUUGAGUAUAUGACGCCAGUUGUAUAUGAGCCAUUGUUGAGAUACCACUCUUUCUUAUUUGGGUAGCUAACCAGCUUGAGUUAUCCUCAAGUGGGACAAUGUCUGGUGGGUAGUUUGACUGGGGCGGUCGCCUCCCAAAUAAUAACGGAGGCUUACAAAGGUUGGCUCAGAACGGUUGGAAAUCGUUCGUAGAGUAUAAAGGUAUAAGCCAGCUUAACUGCAAGACAUACAAGUCAAGCAGAGACGAAAGUCGGUCUUAGUGAUCCGGUGGUUCUGUGUGGAAGGGCCAUCGCUCAAAGGAUAAAAGGUACCCCGGGGAUAACAGGCUGAUCUCCCCCAAGAGCUCACAUCGACGGGGAGGUUUGGCACCUCGAUGUCGGCUCAUCGCAUCCUGGGGCUGGAGCAGGUCCCAAGGGUAUGGCUGUUCGCCAUUUAAAGCGGUACGCGAGCUGGGUUCAGAACGUCGUGAGACAGUUCGGUCCCUAUCUGCCGUGGGCGUAAGAAGAUUGAAGAGAUUUGACCCUAGUACGAGAGGACCGGGUUGAACAAACCACUGGUGUAGCUGUUGUUCUGCCAAGAGCAUCGCAGCGUAGCUAAGUUUGGAAAGGAUAAACGCUGAAAGCAUCUAAGCGUGAAGCCAACUCUAAGAUGAAUCUUCUCUAAGCUCUCUAGAAGACUACUAGUUUGAUAGGCUGGGUGUGUAAUGGAUGAAAGUCCUUUAGCUGACCAGUACUAAUAGAGCGUUUGGCUUAUCUUUAAUAAAGCAU
This 1509-nucleotide ribosomal RNA is filed under the name Campylobacter jejuni. RNAcentral describes it as "partial 23S ribosomal RNA". It matches the Rfam family "Bacterial large subunit ribosomal RNA", at positions 1434 to 2925 of the family's 2925-position model. The record is from RNAcentral. Lineage: Bacteria; Pseudomonadati; Campylobacterota; Epsilonproteobacteria; Campylobacterales; Campylobacteraceae.